RNAcentral lists this ribosomal RNA (641 nucleotides) under uncultured euryarchaeote. RNAcentral's name for it is "bacterial SSU rRNA". It matches the Rfam family "Archaeal small subunit ribosomal RNA", at positions 339 to 981 of the family's 1478-position model. The record is from RNAcentral. Lineage: Archaea; Methanobacteriati; Methanobacteriota.
UCGCGAAAACUUCACAAUGGGGGCAACCCCGAUGAGGGAAUUCCUAGUGCUAGCACAUUUGUGUUAGCUUUUCUUUAGCUUAGAAAACUAGAGGAAUAAGGGCUGGGUAAGACGGGUGCCAGCCGCCGCGGUAAUACCUGCAGCCCAAGUGGUGGUCGAUUUUAUUGAGUCUAAAACGUUCGUAGCCGGUUCGGUAAAUCUUUGGGUAAAUCGGGGGGCUUAACCUUCCGACUUCCGAGGAGACUGCCGAACUUGGGACCGGGAGAGGCUAGAGGUACUUCUGGGGUAGGGGUAAAAUCCUGUAAUCCUAGAAGGACCACCGGUGGCGAAGACGUCUAGCUAGAAUGGAUCCGACGGUGAGGGACGAAGCCCUGGGUCGCAAACGGGAUUAGAUACCCCGGUAGUCCAGGGUGUAAACGCUGCAGACUUGGUGUUGGAGGCCCUUUGGGGGCAUUCAGUGCCGGAGAGAAGUUGUUAAGUCUGCUACUUGGGGAGUACGUCCGCAAGGAUGAAACUUAAAGGAAUUGGCGGGGGAGCACCGCAACGGGAGGAGCGUGCGGUUUAAUUGGAUUCAACACCGUAAAACUCACCAGGGAAGACUGUUACAUGAAGGCCGGGCUAAAGACUCUGCCAGAUUUUCA